Molecule: ribosomal RNA, 422 nt
Filed under: uncultured prokaryote
Description: bacterial SSU rRNA
Rfam family: Bacterial small subunit ribosomal RNA
Source: RNAcentral
UGAGGAAUAUUGGUCAAUGGGCGAGAGCCUGAACCAGCCAAGUAGCGUGAAGGAUGAAGGUCCUAUGGAUUGUAAACUUCUUUUAUAGUAGAAUAAAGUGAGCCACGUGUGGUUUUUUGUAUGUAUACUAUGAAUAAGGAUAGGCUAACUCCGUGCCAGCAGCCGCGGUAAUACGGAGGAUCCGAGCGUUAUCCGGAUUUAUUGGGUUUAAAGGGUGCGUAGGCGGAAGAAUAUGUCAGUUGUGAAAGUUUGCUGCUCAACCGUAAAAUUGCAGUUGAUACUGUUAUUCUUGAGUGUACAUAAGGUAGGCGGAAUUCGUGGUGUAGCGGUGAAAUGCUUAGAUAUCACGAAGAACUCCAAUUGCGAAGGCAGCUUACCGGGGUACAACUGACGCUGAGGCACGAAAGUGUGGGUAUCAAACA